RNAcentral lists this ribosomal RNA (468 nucleotides) under uncultured bacterium. Its description in RNAcentral is "partial 16S ribosomal RNA". It matches the Rfam family "Bacterial small subunit ribosomal RNA", at positions 28 to 507 of the family's 1533-position model. The record is from RNAcentral.
GACGAACGCUGGCGGCGUGCUUAACACAUGCAAGUCGAACGGAAAGGCCCUGCUUUUGUGGGGUGCUCGAGUGGCGAACGGGUGAGUAACACGUGAGUAACCUGCCCUUGACUUUGUGAUAACUUCAGGAAACUGGGGCUAAUACCGGAUAGGAGCUCCUGCUGCAUGGUGGGGGUUGGAAAGUUUCGGCGGUUGGGGAUGGACUCGCGGCUUAUCAGCUUUUUGGUGGGGUAGUGGCUUACCAAGGCUUUGACGGGUAGCCGGCCUGAGAGGGUGACCGGCCACAUAGGGACUGGGAUAGGGCCAGGACUCAUACGGGAGGAAGCGGUGGGAAUUAUUGCGCAAUGGGCGGAGUCCGGAAGCAGCAACGCCGCGUCGGGAAUGACGGCUUUAGGGUUAUAACCCGUUUUAGCCUGGAAAGAACAGUCAGUGACGGUAUUGGAUAAGAAAGCACCGGCUAACUACGUG